AGAGUUUGAUCCUGGCUCAGAGCGAACGCUGGCGGCACGCCUAACACAUGCAAGUCGAGCGAGAAAGUGACUUCGGUCGCGAGUAAAGCGGCGAACGGGUGAGUACAACGUGGAUAAUCUACCCUAAGGUCUGGGACAACCCCGAGAAAUCGGGGCUAAUACCGGAUAAGACCACAGUAUCCAAGGAUACAGCGGUAAAAGAUUUAUCGCCUUUGGAUGAGUCCACGCCCCAUCAGGUAGUUGGUAAGGUAAAGGCUUACCAAGCCUAAGACGGGUAGCCGGCCUUAGCGGGUGAACGGCCACAUGGGGACUGAGACACGGCCCUGACUCCUACGGGAGGCAGCAGUGGGGAAUAUUGGGCAAUGGGCGAAAGCCUGACCCAGCGAUGCCGCGUGAGGGAUGAAGGCCUUCGGGUUGUAAACCUCUGUCAGGAGGGACGAUGGGACUUUGUCUUGACGGUACCUCCAGAGGAAGCCCCGGCUAACUCCGUGCCAGCAGCCGCGGUAAUACGGAGGGGGCAAGCGUUGCUCGGAAUUACUGGGCGUAAAGGGUCCGCAGGCUGUCAGGCAAGUUGGUUGUGAAAUCCCAAGGCUUAACCUUGGAAUUGC
RNAcentral lists this ribosomal RNA (608 nucleotides) under uncultured bacterium. RNAcentral describes it as "bacterial SSU rRNA". It matches the Rfam family "Bacterial small subunit ribosomal RNA", at positions 8 to 624 of the family's 1533-position model. The record is from RNAcentral.